AUGCCCGCUUUGACAGCACGUAUACUAAGAUUGGAACGAUACAGAGAAGAUUAGCAUGGCCGCUGUAUAAGGAUGACACGGAAGUUUGUGAAGCGUUCCAUAUUUUU
Molecule: small nuclear RNA, 107 nt
Organism: Loxodonta africana (African savanna elephant)
Lineage: Eukaryota; Metazoa; Chordata; Mammalia; Proboscidea; Elephantidae
Source: Ensembl